GCCGGGGUGGCGAAACAGGCAGACGCGCUAGGUUCAGGACUUAGUGAGGAUUUACCCUCAUGCGGGUUCAAGUCCCGCCCCCGGCA
Molecule: transfer RNA, 86 nt
Filed under: Anaerolineae bacterium SM23_84
Lineage: Bacteria; Bacillati; Chloroflexota; Anaerolineae
Also listed under: 3 other names
Description: tRNA-Leu
Rfam family: tRNA
About the family: Transfer RNA (tRNA) molecules are approximately 80 nucleotides in length. Their secondary structure includes four short double-helical elements and three loops (D, anti-codon, and T loops).
Source: RNAcentral